CUACGGGCGGCUCCAGUGGGGGAUAUUGCACAAUGGGGGAAACCCUGAUGCAGCAACGCCGCGUGAAGGAAGACGGAUUUCGGUCUGUAAACUUCUAUCAGCUGGGAAGAAAAUGACGGUACCAGACUAAGAAGCCCCGGCUAACUACGUGCCAGUCAGCCGCGGUAAUACGUAGGGGGCAAGCGUUAUCCGGAUUUACUGGGUGUAAAGGGUUCGUAGGCGGUCACUUAAGUCAGAUGUGAAAGCCCGAGGCUCAACCUCGGGACUGCAUUUGAAACUGGGUAACUAGAGUACAGGAGAGGAAAGCGGAAUUCCUAGUGUAGCGGUGAAAUGCGUAGAUAUUAGGAAGAACACCAGUGGCGAAGGCGGCUUUCUGGACUGUUACUGACGCUCAUGAACGAAAGCGUGGGGAGCGAACAGGAUUAGAUACCCGCGUAGUC
Molecule: ribosomal RNA, 440 nt
Filed under: uncultured bacterium
Lineage: Bacteria
Description: partial 16S ribosomal RNA
Rfam family: Bacterial small subunit ribosomal RNA
Source: RNAcentral